GCUAGUUGGUGAGGUAACGGCUCACCAAGGCGACGAUCAGUAGCCGACCUGAGAGGGUGAUCGGCCACAUUGGAACUGAGACACGGUCCAAACUCCUACGGGAGGCAGCAGUGGGGAAUAUUGGGCAAUGGGCGAAAGCCUGACCCAGCAACGCCGCGUGAAGGAAGAAGGUCUUCGGAUCGUAAACUUCUAUCCUUGGUGAAGAUAAUGACGGUAGCCGAGAAGGAAGCCCCGGCUAACUACGUGCCAGCAGCCGCGGUAAUACGUAGGGGGCAAGCGUUGUCCGGAAUGAUUGGGCGUAAAGGGCGCGUAGGCGGCCUGGUAAGUCUGGAGUGAAAGUCCUGCUUUUAAGGUGGGAAUUGCUUUGGAUACUGUCGGGCUUGAGUGCAGGAGAGGUAAGUGGAAUUCCCGGUGUAGCGGUGAAAUGCGUAGAGAUCGGGAGGAACACCAGUGGCGAAGGCGACUUACUGGACUGUAACUGACGCUGAGGCGCGAAAGUGUGGGGAGCAAACAGGAUUAGAUACCCUGGUAGUCCACACUGUAAACGAUGAAUGCUAGGUGUAGGGGGUAUCGACCCCUUCUGUGCCGGAGUUAACACAAUA
RNAcentral lists this ribosomal RNA (602 nucleotides) under uncultured bacterium. RNAcentral's name for it is "bacterial SSU rRNA". It matches the Rfam family "Bacterial small subunit ribosomal RNA", at positions 244 to 862 of the family's 1533-position model. The record is from RNAcentral.